This 61-nucleotide transfer RNA is filed under the name Sapajus apella (tufted capuchin). Its description in RNAcentral is "tRNA-Ser". Lineage: Eukaryota; Metazoa; Chordata; Mammalia; Primates; Cebidae. The record is from RNAcentral.
GAGAAAGUAUGCAAGAACUGCUAACUCUCUGCCUCCAGGCUUAACAUCCUGGCCUUCUCAG